RNAcentral lists this ribosomal RNA (484 nucleotides) under uncultured bacterium. RNAcentral's name for it is "partial 16S ribosomal RNA". It matches the Rfam family "Bacterial small subunit ribosomal RNA", at positions 29 to 507 of the family's 1533-position model. The record is from RNAcentral.
AUUGAACGCUGGCGGCAGGCCUAACACAUGCAAGUCGAGCGGAUGAAGGGAGCUUGCUCCUGGAUUCAGCGGCGGACGGGUGAGUAAUGCCUAGGAAUCUGCCUGGUAGUGGGGGAUAACGUCCGGAAACGGGCGCUAAUACCGCAUACGUCCUGAGGGAGAAAGUGGGGGAUCUUCGGACCUCACGCUAUCAGAUGAGCCUAGGUCGGAUUAGCUAGUUGGUGGGGUAAUGGCCUACCAAGGCGACGAUCCGUAACUGGGCUGAGAGGAUGAUCAGUCACACUGGAACUGAGAGACGGUCCAGAGUCCUACGGGAGGCAGAAGUGGGGAAGAGUGGACGAUGGGCGAAAUACUGAUCCAGGCGUGCAGGGUGGGUGAAGAGGGUCUGCGGAUUGGAAAGCAGUCUAAGGUGGGAGGAAGGGCAGUAAGUGAGAACCUGGCUGUUGUGACGUUACCAACAGAAGAAGCACCGGCUAACUUCGUG